CACAGGCAACUGUUUUGAAAGAGUCUUAAUGUUUAAAUCCUUCUACUCACUUACUGAAAGGGUACUUCGAGAUGAGAAAAGUCUUUCCAGAAUCUAAGCCUGGUCUUUGGGCUCAUUCUUGAGAUAACAGCCAAAUUUCAUUUUAAUCCCAACCGGAAAGGAGUGAAGACUGCCUGCCUCUAUCACAUAAAAUUUUCUUGUGGAUGGGAAGCAUAUUUGCAUAGGGAGUCAGAGAAUUUGCAAAGAUUGAUGAAAUAUUUUCAAAGAAAAUUUUGAAUGAAAGCUGAUGCAAAAGCAGAAAAGACUGUCUUGAAACUCAGAGAUGGAUGGGACACAGCAGAUUUCUGCAUCCACACAUCUUAUGUAAAAGCUGUAAAGUGCAGGCAGCUGUCAGCAAGAGCUGGUGAAAUUGAGGACUCCAUUCUACUCAGACGUCAGAGCACUGAAGAUACUGGAAUCGGCUGGAAUAAACUUUCUAAGCAUUUGAAGCAUUAGAAAGCAAGCAUUCUUUACCCGUGCAGGACACACAGAGGAUAUAUUUAUUUUUUUUUUCAUUCUGUGUGUUUCGUGAGGCUUUACAACAAGGUAUUUAUCCAUCGUAACCAUACAUAUUCAUUAAAAUGUGGUUCUUAUUUAAUACAUAAACAUUACUUUCCUAGAACUAAUUUGUAUGUAUCCACCUUCCACUGGAAGUCCUUUUUUGGUCCUGUAGAGUCAUAAAAAGGGUCUCUGGUGGUUGUAUUCACUGAAGGCUUUGAUAUUAAAGGUGACUUUCCCUUGAACUUUUUCUUUGGGCACGUGCUGUUACUUCUUUGUUACAUGACUUGCAAAAAACCACUGCAGUCCUUUUUAUCUGUUUCUCCACUGGUUCCAGCCAUGUUUAUCCUCCUGUGGUCAUAUUUUAACAUUCAUUUAUCUUUUUUUUUUUGUCAUUUAGUCUUUAAGCUCCAUCCAGCAACUUCAAGGAAACUGAAAAAUUCUAUUCUCUAUAUCAUUUAUCAUUGAUGUCUGAGUUGGAAAAUGAAGGUUUGUUUUCUUAAAACUGAGUAAGACCAAAUCUUGUCUAGGAAACUCCUGCUGGUUGACCUCAGUGUCCUCCACGGGUCCGCUGGGCACAGACUAA
Long non-coding RNA from Pseudopodoces humilis (Tibetan ground-tit), 1123 nucleotides. RefSeq lists it as uncharacterized. The record is from RefSeq and is a predicted model, not a curated record. Lineage: Eukaryota; Metazoa; Chordata; Aves; Passeriformes; Paridae.